AUACGGAGGGUGCAAGCGUUACUCGGAAUCACUGGGCGUAAAGCGCGCGCAGGCGGUCUUUUAAGUUGGAUGUGAAAGCCUACGGCUCAACCGUAGAACUGCAUCCAAAACUAUUAGACUAGAGUGUGGGAGAGGAAGAUGGAAUUAGUUGUGUAGGGGUAAAAUCCGUAGAGAUAUCUAGGAAUACCAAAAGCGAAGGCAAUCUUCUGGAACACUACUGACGCUGAGGCGCGAAAGCGUGGGGAGCAAACAGGAUUAGAAACCCUAGUAGUCC
RNAcentral lists this ribosomal RNA (274 nucleotides) under uncultured bacterium. RNAcentral describes it as "partial 16S ribosomal RNA". It matches the Rfam family "Bacterial small subunit ribosomal RNA", at positions 523 to 796 of the family's 1533-position model. The record is from RNAcentral.